Molecule: ribosomal RNA, 1346 nt
Filed under: uncultured bacterium
Lineage: Bacteria
Description: partial 16S ribosomal RNA
Rfam family: Bacterial small subunit ribosomal RNA
Source: RNAcentral
GACGAACGCUGGCGGCGUGCUUAACACAUGCAAGUCGAACGGAAAGGCCCUGCUUUUGUGGGGUGCUCGAGUGGCGAACGGGUGAGUAACACGUGAGUAACCUGCCCUUGACUUUGGGAUGACUUCAGGAAACUGGGGCUAAUACCGGAUAGGAGCUCCUGCUGCAUGGUGGGGGUUGGAAAGUUUCGGCGGUUGGGGAUGGACUCGCGGCUUAUCAGCUUGUUGGUGGGGUAGUGGCUUACCAAGGCUUUGACGGGUAGCCGGCCUGAGAGGGUGACCGGCCACAUUGGGACUGAGAUACGGCCCAGACUCCUACGGGAGGCAGCGGUGGGGAAUAUUGCACAAUGGGCGGAAGCCUGAUGCAGCAACGCCGCGUGCGGGAUGACGGCCUUCGGGUUGUAAACCGCUUUCGCCUGUGACGAAGCGUGAGUGACGGUAAUGGGUAAAGAAGCACCGGCUAACUACGUGCCAGCAGCCGCGGUGAUACGUAGGGUGCGAGCGUUGUCCGGAUUUAUUGGGCGUAAAGGGCUCGUAGGUGGUUGAUCGCGUCGGAAGUGUAAUCUUGGGGCUUAACCCUGAGCGUGCUUUCGAUACGGGUUGACUUGAGGAAGGUAGGGGAGAAUGGAAUUCCUGGUGGAGCGGUGGAAUGCGCAGAUAUCAGGAGGAACACCAGUGGCGAAGGCGGUUCUCUGGGCCUUUCCUGACGCUGAGGAGCGAAAGCGUGGGGAGCGAACAGGCUUAGAUACCCUGGUAGUCCACGCUGUAAACGGUGGGUACUAGGUGUGGGGUCCAUUCCACGGGUUCCGUGCCGUAGCUAACGCUUUAAGUACCCCGCCUGGGGAGUACGGCCGCAAGGCUAAAACUCAAAGGAAUUGACGGGGCCCCGCACAAGCGGCGGAGCAUGCGGAUUAAUUCGAUGCAACGCGUAGAACCUUACCUGGGUUUGACAUGGAUCGGGAGUGCUCAGAGAUGGGUGUGCCUCUUUUGGGGUCGGUUCACAGGUGGUGCAUGGCUGUCGUCAGCUCGUGUCGUGAGAUGUUGGGUUAAGUCCCGCAACGAGCGCAACCCUUGUUCACUGUUGCCAGCACGUUAUGGUGGGGACUCAGUGGAGACCGCCGGGGUCAACUCGGAGGAAGGUGGGGAUGACGUCAAGUCAUCAUGCCCCUUAUGUCCAGGGCUUCACGCAUGCUACAAUGGCUGGUACAGAGAGUGGCGAGCCUGUGAGGGUGAGCGAAUCUCGGAAAGCCGGUCUCAGUUCGGAUUGGGGUCUGCAACUCGACCUCAUGAAGUCGGAGUCGCUAGUAAUCGCAGAUCAGCAACGCUGCGGUGAAUACGUUCCCGGGGCU